CUCUGCUGCCUGCCAGGGACAGCUCUCAGCCAGCCCGGGGAGCUGCUCCCAGCGCUGCGGAGAAGCUGUGGGGGGAAGAAGCCACCCCGAGCAGGGCAGGGGCUGCUGCUGAGAGGGGCUGGGUGGCUCAGGGCUGCUCCCAGCUCCAGACCAGCCUGGGCACAGCUCCAGAGGACACUUCUUAAAAGAAGACUGUUUCUCCUCUCCUGUUUCUGUGACCAUCUCGAACCUGCUCCGGACUGGGACCUGGGAACAUCGAUGGUUGGCACCGUUCGGCUGCAGCAGCUGCCCCAGCGCCAGAGGGACUGAGAACAGAGCAACCACCCCCGGAAGAGACUUUCUGAUUUUGCCAUCUUUCUCAGAGCAGCGUCAUCUGGUAUUGUUCAUUUUGUGUGCUGGGGGGUGCUGUGCCUGUUAAAUAAACAGGUUCUUUCCA
Long non-coding RNA from Melospiza melodia melodia, 436 nucleotides. RefSeq lists it as uncharacterized. The record is from RefSeq and is a predicted model, not a curated record. The transcript is spliced from 2 exons. Lineage: Eukaryota; Metazoa; Chordata; Aves; Passeriformes; Passerellidae.